RNAcentral lists this long non-coding RNA (1342 nucleotides) under Oreochromis niloticus (Nile tilapia). RNAcentral's name for it is "lncRNA (ENSONIG00000030655.1)". The record is from RNAcentral. Lineage: Eukaryota; Metazoa; Chordata; Actinopteri; Cichliformes; Cichlidae.
UGCUCCUCAAAGCAACUAACGAGAUUUUAGAAGCAUUUAAAACUUAAAACAGUCUCACUGACAUAAAAGUAAGACAAUUAUAUUCCGUCCUGUUCAGUUUUAUUUGUACAGCAACAAAGCACAACAACAGUUGUGCUCAAGGAUCUGGUGGACUGAUUCCUGACGCCGUGGGAAGCCAGCACCGAAGUCUGUGCACAGCCCUCUUAGAUGAGGCCGAAAAGACCCAGACCGUGAAUUCGGAUUCGGGCCGGCGUUCUUAGUCUGGUCCAUGGCGGUGGGAUUCAGUCUGAAGAUCCGAACCACCAGUGAGACGUCUGAGGGUGAGAAACACUAUUUUGGUAUAUAAAACGGCCGCAAAGGUUUAAAGAAACAUGAUAAAUUAGGUUUAAGUUCGCCAAAAAGAACUAAGUUUAGACUGGUUUUAGAGGUAGCCGAAAUUACUUCAUGCCAAAUUAAAAUACGUUUAGGCAAAUUAAAACACAAAUUAAAAUACCUUUAGGUAAAUUAAAACACGUUGAAACAAAGAAAUUAAAAUAGGUUUAAGUUCGCCAAAAGGAACUGUGUUUAGACUGGUUUUAGAGGUAGCCGAAUACUUCGUGACAAAUUAGCGCGCAAAUGUCUGUGUGUGUGUGUGUCUGGAAGUAAGUUGAUUUUUACAGCACAAUACGCUGCUAAACUACAUGAUGGAGAAGCUAUAUUGAAUAUGAAAGUGCAAGUCUUUGCCACUGUGGGCAAAGCACGCAACCACUGUGUGAGGUUGCGUUGCGGUCUCUUCUGAGCUGAUGAGCAAGCUACACAUUAUCAGAUCGGGAGCUGGCUGAGAACUCAUCAAAGAGAGGGAAACAGAACUAUGAUAACUCGAGUAUGUAGCGUAUCCGUGAGUUCAGCUUCUUCAGGCAGUUUUCCUGUAUCUUGACUCGUGUGUAGAGUGUUCAUAGCAUCAGCAUCAUGUUUUUGUUUAUUUGUUUUGUUGGGUUGAAAAAUAACUAUAUAAACUUGUGAUCAUACUUAUGGAUCACCAUGGCACAUAUCAUCAGCCAUAUGAUUAUUUAUGCAGAUGAAAAAAGUGAGUGUGAAUGUGCCUGAUGUCACAGUGUGUGUGUGCGUUGUGUAAAAGUAAUUGCCUCCAAUUGUGAGAGCGGUGAUUCUGCAGGUCACCAUGUAAAAAAAAAAGGAAAAAAAUUUACAUUGUAGAUGAAAAAUAAUCAUACAAAAAAGGUUUUGUGUUUAUAAGCCAAGAACAACUACAAUGUCAUUUUCUGCUUUUAAGAAAGGAGAGUUUAAAAAAAAAACAGAGAGAGAGAUGUGUGUUGGUUAAGCAGUAAUAAUAAUAAUGAAAAUG